AUAGUGAUAAUGAUAAACUUAAUGUAACAUGUUUUCAUUACAAAAUAGAUGUGUGAAAGAACUUAUAUAACUUCAGUUAAAUGACAGGUAAUAAACAUUUCUAUGUGAACUUCACGAAUCCAUUUUUUAAAAAAAAUUUAAAGUGAAUUAGAAAAAAAAAAUCACACUGACAACUUGUACAGUUGGGGUGAAGAGUUUAGCAGGUACAAUCAGAUAAAAAGAAGACAUCACUUUUGAAUUUACUUUUCCGCUAGAAAUUUGGUUUAAAUUAUUCUUUGAUUUUGUUAUUCUUCGGUCACUCAGAUUCCUAUUAGUGGAGAGUCUGUUGCUUUUCUAGAAUAUGAAAGUCUGAUAAAAUGCGAGUAGCAUGAGCAAAUGUGACUUACCGGGAACUGAAAAAGACACAGGAAGACACUCGUUUUUGUGUGGUCCAGCAUAGCCCCUUCUUGGUGUUGAAUAAACAGUGGGUGUAAUAUCUGUUAUGCCUGCAACAACUCCCGUUUGAAAAGCUCAAUAGCAAAUGAACACCAACGAAUAAACAAAAAUAAACAAUCACUGACUUGAACUACUGUUACUACGGUUCGUUAUCGUUGUGGCACAAAUUCAUACAUAAGUCAUAUAGUCCAUAUACAAAGUCUUCCAUCUUGGGUAUUUUGACUUCACGACCGGACCAUGUUCGACUAGUUGGUGUAGCAGACCGCACUGGGGUUGUGGAGCCAUGAAAGGGAUUGGAUCCUGCCGGACUAUCAGACUCCAGUAUGGAGAGAGUUCAGUAGGCAAAUGGUUCUUGUCAUCUGGCCAAUCUUGGGUGAUGACAAUUCUGACAUUUUGCAAGGUUUCAUCCUUGUCUGUUUCAUUCUUCAAACUGCGAAGUCGCGCAUCACCAAUGGGUAAAAAGCUUGCCAUAUUGACGGUCUCAAACUCGCUCUGGUUGUUCUGCGAGUUCUUCAGGUAGGCUCUGGAGAGAGUAUCAGCAAGAAGCAUGUCCUUGCCUCUCUUGUACCGAACUGUGACAUCAUACCCUGGAUCCGCAGCAUCAUGCCUUGGAGUCUGCGUGGCGCUGACGACAGCGGUUUGUUCAUGAUUGCUUCCAGCGGCUUGUGGUCACUUUCUAUGUUUACAUGGCGACCAAAAGCAUAUUGAUGGAACCUGUCCAGGGCAAAAACUAUUGCUAGAGUUUCUUUCUCAAUCUGUGAAUAUCUGGUUUCAGUUUCAGUCAUUGAGCGGCUUGUAUAGGCGAUUGGCUUUCCAUUUUGCAUGAGAACAGCGCCCAAACCAUUCUUGCUCCCAUCACACUGAAUGGUAAGUUCUGUCGCGUUCCACCCCCAGCGUCGCUGGAAGCAUGCGCACAGCCGCUCACACAGCCGGCCAGACACGCACAGACACUCGGCCGGAGGCAGUCAGCGACUUACCUCUCGAACCCGUGCACGGCACAAACCAUGACAAAAAACAGGGAAGACGAUACAAGCACGCAGUUUAAUAAAAAUAUAAACACGAAUACACGUACACACACACACCCCCCCCCCCCCCCCCCCAUAAAAACCAGAUAAAAAAUACACCUACGAGUACUCGUCAAAAAAACUGGGGACUGCCUCCCCGCAAAGAAAGUUACAAAUAAUAUUCACACACAGCAGAAAGAGAAAAAAAAAA
RNAcentral lists this long non-coding RNA (1650 nucleotides) under Pomacea canaliculata. RNAcentral's name for it is "uncharacterized LOC112575139". The record is from RNAcentral. Lineage: Eukaryota; Metazoa; Mollusca; Gastropoda; Architaenioglossa; Ampullariidae.